RNAcentral lists this ribosomal RNA (1355 nucleotides) under uncultured bacterium. Its description in RNAcentral is "bacterial SSU rRNA". It matches the Rfam family "Bacterial small subunit ribosomal RNA", at positions 27 to 1381 of the family's 1533-position model. The record is from RNAcentral.
GGACGAACGCUGGCGGCGUGCCUGACACAUGCAAGUCGGACGGUUCUUGUACCUUCAAGCUUGCUUGUUGGUGCAAGGAUAGUGGCGGACGGGUGAGUAACGCGUGAACAUCUACCCAUUGGAGGGGGACAACCCGUCGAAAGGCGGGCUAAUACCGCGUAAGCCGCGAGGUGAGAGGCUGCCUAUUGGUGGCCGCCGAUGGAUGGGUUCGCGUCCUAUCAGCUGGUUGGUGGGGUAACGGCCUACCAAGGCGAAGACGGGUAGCCGGUCUGAGAGGAUGGCCGGCCACACUGGAACUGAGACACGGUCCAGACUCCUACGGGAGGCAGCAGUGGGGAAUAUUGGGCAAUGGGGGAGACCCUGACCCAGCGACGCCGCGUGAGGGACGAAGGUUUUCGGAUCGUAAACCUCUGUUGUACGGGAAGAAGGAUGUGACGGUACCGUACGAGGAAGCCCCGGCAAACUACGUGCCAGCAGCCGCGGUAACACGUAGGGGGCGAGCGUUGUCCGGAAUUACUGGGCGUAAAGGGCGCGCAGGCGGUUAUGUAAGUCUGCUGUGAAAAGCAUCGGCUCAACCGGUGUCUUGCGGCGGAUACUGCAUGGCUUGAGUACUGGAGAGGGAAGUGGAAUUCCCGGUGUAGCGGUGAAAUGCGUAGAUAUCGGGAGGAACACCGGUGGCGAAGGCGGCUUUCUGGCCAGUAACUGACGCUCAUGCGCGAGAGCUGGGGUAGCGAACCGGAUUAGAUACCCGGGUAGUCCCAGCCGUAAACGAUGAAUGCUAGGUGUGGUUGCCGCAGGGCAUCCGUGCCGCAGUUAACGCGUUAAGCAUUCCGCCUGGGGAGUACGGUCGCAAGAUUGAAACUCAAAGGAAUUGACGGGGGCCCGCACAAGCGGUGGAGCAUGCGGUUUAAUUCGAUGCAACGCGAAGAACCUUACCAGGUCUUGACAGUGUAAAGAAUACUUAAGAGAUUAAGGGCUAAGAAUUAAGCUUGCUUAUUUCACUUUAUAAACAGGUGGUGCAUGGUUGUCGUCAGCUCGUGUCGUGAGAUGUUGGGUUAAGUCCCGCAACGAGCGCAACCCUUAUUGCUAGUUGCCAUCAUUAAGUUGGGCACUCUAGCAAGACUGCCGGUGACAAAUCGGAUGAAGGUGGGGAUGACGUCAAAUCAUCAUGCCCCUUAUGACCUGGGCUACACGCGUGCUACAAUGGCUAAUACAAAGAGUUGCAAAACCGUGAGGUAGAGCUAAUCUCAUAAAGUUAGUCUCAGUUCGGAUUGUAGUCUGCAACUCGACUACAUGAAGUUGGAAUCGCUAGUAAUCGUAAAUCAGAAUGUUACGGUGAAUACGUUCUCGAGUCU